RNAcentral lists this small RNA (89 nucleotides) under Marmota monax (woodchuck). The record is from RNAcentral. Lineage: Eukaryota; Metazoa; Chordata; Mammalia; Rodentia; Sciuridae.
GCUGGGCUUGGUGGUGCACUCCUGUAAUCCUUGUGACUUAGGAGGCUGUGGCAGAAGGAUGGCAAGCUCAAAGCCAGCCUCAGCAACUU